Molecule: long non-coding RNA, 981 nt
Filed under: Marmota monax (woodchuck)
Lineage: Eukaryota; Metazoa; Chordata; Mammalia; Rodentia; Sciuridae
Source: RNAcentral
UCAAAACAUACCACUAUACAUGCAAUAUGCAAAUACAUACAAGUUUAACUGUCAAAUAAAAAUGAAAUACUUCUACAAUUUCUUUUCUUUCUUCUCUGUUUCUCUAUUUAGGUUAGCUUGUGGACCUAUAGACCUAGGUCCUGAAGAGAGUCAGAAAAGAGAUUCUAAUGUCAUGGGUGUAAGUUUUGGUCUAGAGACUCAGAUAUAAGACUGAUCUCUUGGAUGGUUCAUUUUAUGUGUCUACUUAAUUGCAUUAUGGGGUGCCCAGAUAAUUAAACAUUAUUCUGAAUGUGUCUUUAGAUUUCCCACCUAAACCUUGGAGAACUAUGUAGAACAAAAAAGUCUAAGUAAAAGAGAAUUUGCUUUUUCUGCCUCUUUUUGAGCUUGGACAUUUGUCUUCUCCUGCCUUUGAACUUAAAUUCAGACUGGAACUGAUACCAUUGGUUCUCCUGGUUCUCAGGUCUUUGGACUCUGACUGGAACUAUGCAUUGGCUUUGUUGGAUCACCAGCUUGCUGACUAUAUAUCUUGGCACUUCUCAUCUUCUAUAAACAUAUAAGCCAAUUCCUUAUAAUAAUUCUAUCUAUCUAUAUCCAUCCAUUUAUUGAUUCUAUUGGUUCUGUUUCUCUGGAGAACCCAGACUGAUACAUCUCAUUUUGCUGUUCUUCUUAUUUCACCUUAACUUCAACUUUAUUCCUUCUAUGUCCUUGGACUAAUGAGAAAUCUAACUCCAGUUUUCUUGGCCUUGAAACCUAGAAACAGAGAACCCAACCAUUAAGCCAAGGAGAAAUUUUCAGGAUUUUUGCCAUUGAUCAUUUAUCAUUAGUUACUCAGAUGACAUGUUCUUUUUAGGACCAAUAGUUUUUGCACCUUUGGGCCCACGAGUGGUGCAAGGGCAUUUCUUAUGAGGCUUCAAAUAUAAAGCUAGUUCCCCUCCUAGGUCUUGCCAAUUUUCCAGGAUAGUGUCAGGGAACAGGGCAUGG